This 492-nucleotide ribosomal RNA is filed under the name uncultured bacterium. RNAcentral describes it as "partial 16S ribosomal RNA". It matches the Rfam family "Bacterial small subunit ribosomal RNA", at positions 29 to 507 of the family's 1533-position model. The record is from RNAcentral.
AGUGAACGCUGGCGGUAGGCCUAACACAUGCAAGUCGAACGGCAGCACAGUAAGAGCUUGCUCUUACGGGUGGCGAGUGGCGGACGGGUGAGGAAUACAUCGGAAUCUACUUUUUCGUUGGGGAUAACGUAGGGAAACUUACGCUAAUACCGCAUACGACCUACGGGUGAAAGCAGGGGAUCUUCGGACCUUGCGCGAUUGAAUGAGCCGAUGUCGGAUUAGCUAGUUGGCGGGGUAAAGGCCCACCAGGGCGACGAUCCGUAGCUGGUCUGAGAGGAUGAUCAGCCACACUGGAACUGAGACACGGUCCCGACUACUACGGGAGGCAGCAGUGGGGAAUAUUGGACAAUGGGCGCAAGCCUGAUCCAGCCAUACCGCGUGGGUGAAGAAGGCCUUCGGGUUGUAAAGCCCUUUUGUUGGGAAAGAAAAGCAGCAGGUUAAUACCCCGCUGUUCUGACGGUACCAAAAGAAUAAGCACCGGCUAACUUCGUG